CAGUAGCCACGGUAAUACGUAGGUGGCAAGCGUUGUCCGGAAUUAUUGGGCGUAAAGCGCGCGCAGGUGGUUCCUUAAGUCUGAUGUGAAAGCCCACGGCUCAACCGUGGAGGGUCAUUGGAAACUGGGGGACUUGAGUGCAGAAGAGGAAAGUGGAAUUCCAAGUGUAGCGGUGAAAUGCGUAGAUAUUUGGAGGAACACCAGUGGCGAAGGCGACUUUCUGGUCUGUAACUGACACUGAGGCGCGAAAGCGUGGGGAGCAAACAGGAUUAGAUACCCCCGUAGUCCCUGUCUCUUAUAU
RNAcentral lists this ribosomal RNA (301 nucleotides) under uncultured bacterium. RNAcentral describes it as "partial 16S ribosomal RNA". It matches the Rfam family "Bacterial small subunit ribosomal RNA", at positions 509 to 809 of the family's 1533-position model. The record is from RNAcentral.